Molecule: ribosomal RNA, 274 nt
Filed under: uncultured Lactobacillus sp.
Lineage: Bacteria; Bacillati; Bacillota; Bacilli; Lactobacillales; Lactobacillaceae
Description: partial 16S ribosomal RNA
Rfam family: Bacterial small subunit ribosomal RNA
Source: RNAcentral
UGCAAGUCGUACGCACUGGCCCAACUGAUUGAUGGUGCUUGCACCUGAUUGACGAUGGAUCACCAGUGAGUGGCGGACGGGUGAGUAACACGUAGGUAACCUGCCCCGGAGCGGGGGAUAACAUUUGGAAACAGAUGCUAAUACCGCAUAACAACAAAAGCCGCAUGGCUUUUGUUUGAAAGAUGGCUUUGGCUAUCACUCUGGGAUGGACCUGCGGUGCAUUAGCUAGUUGGUAAGGUAACGGCUUACCAAGGCGAUGAUGCAUAGCCGAGUU